CUAAAUUUCAUUACCUAUCCUCUCUAUUCUCUUCCUUCAAGUUCCUGAGAUGACAGUGAAUGCUGUGUUAUCCUGCUGUAUCAGUUACCUAUUUUCAUACAAAUACUUCAAUCCCAAAACACACUGGCUGGAAACAACAAACAUGUAAUUAGUCUGGAUGUUCUCAUGGCAAUGGCAGAGGAGCAAAGGCCAAAUGGAAACAUGCAAGAGUUCUUAAGUCCCAGGCCUGGAAGUGACAGCAAAUCAUUUCCCUGCACUCUACUGGACAAAGCUACAACAUCAACCUAGAUUCAGUGAAUAGGGAAAUUACUCCAUGAUAUCGUUUGGAUAUCUGUGUCUCCAUCACAUCUCAUGUUGAAAUGUAAUCCCUAGUGAUGAAGGUGGGGAGGUGUUUCGAUCAUGGGGGUGUAUCCCUCAUGAAUGGCUUAGCGUCAUCCCCUUGGUGAUAAGUGAGUUCUCAUGAGAUCUGAUUGUUUAAAAGUGUGUGGCACCUCCCCCAACUCUCUCUCUCUCUCUCUCUCUCUCUCACUUGCUCGCUCUGGCCAUGUGACAUGCCUGCUCCCGCUUCACCUUCUGCCAUGAGUAAAAUCUCCCUGAAGCCUCCCCAGAAGCCAAACAAAUGUCAACAACAUGCUUGUACAACGCAGAACCAUG
RNAcentral lists this long non-coding RNA (654 nucleotides) under Pan troglodytes (chimpanzee). RNAcentral's name for it is "long non-coding RNA NONPTRT002304". The record is from RNAcentral. Lineage: Eukaryota; Metazoa; Chordata; Mammalia; Primates; Hominidae.